This 240-nucleotide unclassified non-coding RNA is filed under the name soil metagenome. Its description in RNAcentral is "partial contains 5.8S ribosomal RNA, internal transcribed spacer 2, and large subunit ribosomal RNA". The record is from RNAcentral.
AACGCACGAGACCUGCGGACCUGCGGAGGGAUCAUUACAGAGUUGAAAAACUCCCAAAACCACUGUGAAUCAUACCUGUCCGCGUUGCUUCGGCGGGCAGCUCCGGGGAGGAGCUGCCGCCUCCCUUACGGGGGGCGCCCGCCGGAAGCCCCUAUAAACUACUCUGCAAUUUGGCUGGCAACUCUGAGUAUUAGCAUGCAAAUGCGACUAAAACAAAAAAAACUUUCAGCAAUGGAUCUC